UACGUAGCACGCACGGAGUGGAGGUAGACGUCAACCUCUCUCUCUCUACCUAACCACGGAUGCUACGCGACCAGCUGCGCCGCCGGUGGCGUCAGGCGCUCGAGCCCACAUGCCACCGCGAGUGCCUGGAGGUGGCGACGGAGCUACGGAAGUCGCUCAGGACGCUGGCUCGGUUCCCGGAGCAGGUCCGCCGGCGGCGACCGGAGCCGGGGCGGCGGUGGGCGGUGCUGCUCGACACGGCGCGGCACGCGCGCCAGCUGUUCCUAGAGGCUCGGCGGCUCCUCUUGCUCUACCUUCUCCUCUUCGUAGCGGGAGGCUGGUGCGGCGACCACCGGAUCCUGUUUAUCGGGUUAGCUAGAUGGAGAAGAGGACAACUUCACUACAAGUAGCAAGAACAAAAAAGGUACACUACAAGUAGCAAGGAAAAUAAAAGAACGAACUACACGAUUAGCACAAUCAGUAGAUCUUCUACUUACUUUGACACUGCCCUUUCCUGUCUACCUGACCUAUAUAACGGAGCGGUACGGUGUACCACCGGCUCUACGCCGUCGGGGUACGAGACAAGGCUACCCGGAGGAUACGAGCUACAACGACGACCAACUCAAACCAUGCCAAAGGACAACAGCGAACGCAGCUCGGAACCCAGGCAGAGAGGAAGAGUAACUCGGAUGAAGAGGACAGCGACCGCGAAGAAGAAGAGCAGCCAGGACGACGAAUGGGUUGGAAAACGAACGACGGAGCCCAACGUGCUAGAGACUACAUCGACGCAGCAAACUGAGUAGUUCUAUAUGGUGUCUCCCUUCUAGACGGAGUGACACGUGAAGUCCACGCGCGUGUGAUCGCUACCAUGUUCUAACCGAAGGACCACCUUAGUCCACGCGCAGCAGGUACCACCGGACAGCACCCACAACCACCCGCCGACCUCCGCCGACAUCGUCUGAGAUCUUAGCGAUUCCAACGAGGAAGAGACAAGGAAACCAGUUCCACAGCACAAACACACAAACAAAAACACCACGACGAAUAUACACACUGAUGGCAUACUAGCAUAUAUAUACGACUUUCCCUUGGGGAGGACCAGCUCGGGGAUCGGGGGUGGAACCGUCGACGGACCUCUCCUCCUAUCGAGCUCCUGUUGAGGGUUACACGGCUCCUCUACCCUUGUACUAUUCAGCUGUGUAUUAUUCCUAGUCUUCUUGUUGUCUAUACGAUUCUCUGUUUGGAAAACCCCAAUUCCUAUAUUUGUUGUUGUCUCGAAUACUCCGGCUUCUCUCGAGCUCACCGCAGAAAACCAAGAACUUCUGGACGUGCAAGGACCACCUCAUCUCGUUUUAUUAAACCUCCGAAAUUUCGAUGACGUGAAGUACAUAAAUCCUAGUUAAGAAACAAAAUCAAACUUUAUAAGGGGUAAAGGAGGAUAAACUAACUAAGUAGACUACUUGUAAAACAGUCCGUUUAUUUGUUUUCCGUAUACAUAACAAUGCUCACUUCGGUAGGUAUGAGGGUACACCUUAAGUUCUUUAUCUUUUUACAAUAACAAGAACAUGAUUAACAAACGAACCGGUUUACAUGAUAUUUACUAAAUAAUAACAAGUUCCAUAUCUCUUUACAACAACAAGAAGU
Molecule: ribosomal RNA, 1620 nt
Filed under: Triticum aestivum (bread wheat)
Lineage: Eukaryota; Viridiplantae; Streptophyta; Magnoliopsida; Poales; Poaceae
Description: partial small subunit ribosomal RNA
Source: RNAcentral